AAUGAACGUUGGCGGCGUGGAUUUGGCAUGCAAGUCGAGCGAUAACCCCGCAAGGGGGGUCAGCGGCGAAAGGGACAGUAAUGUGUAGAUUAUCUGCCCUCAGGUCCUGGAUAGCUGCGGGAAACUUCAGGUAAUACCUGAUAACAUCUCCGGAUCAAAGGUGUGAUUCCGCCUGAGGAUGAGUCUGCAUCCUAUUAGCUAGUUGUUGGGGUAAUGGCCUACCAAGGCAUUGAUGGGUAGCAGGUGUGAGAGCACGACCUUCGUCAUUGGGACUGAGACACUGGACAGACACAGAAGGAUGGCUGCAGGCGAGAAUCUUAGGCAAUGGGAGCAAGGCUGAGCGAGCGAAGGCGCGUGUGGGAUGAAGGCCAUCGGGUUGUAAAACACUGUAAGAGGGGAUGAAAUGCAGGUGGAGUAGGACAACUGUUUGAAAUAGCAUAAGAGGAAGGACGGGCUAGUUCGUG
Molecule: ribosomal RNA, 464 nt
Filed under: uncultured bacterium
Lineage: Bacteria
Description: partial 16S ribosomal RNA
Rfam family: Bacterial small subunit ribosomal RNA
Source: RNAcentral